CCUACGGGAGGCAGCAGUGAGGAAUAUUGGUCAAUGGACGAGAGUCUGAACCAGCCAAGUAGCGUGAAGGAUGACUGCCCUAUGGGUUGUAAACUUCUUUUAUAAAGGAAUAAAACGAGGCACGUGUGCCUUUUUGCAUGUACUUUAUGAAUAAGGAUCGGCUAACUCCGUGACAGCAGCCGCGGUAAUACGGAGGAUCCGAGCGUUAUCCGGAUUUAUUGGGUUUAAAGGGAGCGUAGAUGGGUUGUUAAGUCAGUUGUGAAAGUUUGCGGCUCAACCGUAAGAUUGCAAUUGAUACUGGGAGUCUUGAGUACAGUUGAGGUAGGCGGAAUUCGUGGUGUAGCGGUGAAAUGCUUAGAUAUCACGAAGAACCCCGAUUGCGAAGGCAGCUUACUAAACUGUGACUGACAUUGAUGCUCGAAAGUGUGGGUAUCAAACAGGAUUAGAUACCCCAGUAGUC
RNAcentral lists this ribosomal RNA (460 nucleotides) under uncultured bacterium. Its description in RNAcentral is "partial 16S ribosomal RNA". It matches the Rfam family "Bacterial small subunit ribosomal RNA", at positions 338 to 795 of the family's 1533-position model. The record is from RNAcentral.